AGUGAACGCUGGCGGUAGGCCUAACACAUGCAAGUCGAACGGCAGCACAGUAAGAGCUUGCUCUUACGGGUGGCGAGUGGCGGACGGGUGAGGAAUACAUCGGAAUCUACUUUUUCGUGGGGGAUAACGUAGGGAAACUUACGCUAAUACCGCAUACGACCUACGGGUGAAAGCAGGGGAUCUUCGGACCUUGCGCGAUUGAAUGAUCCGAUGUCGGAUUAGCUAGUUGGCGGGGUAAAGGCCCACCAAGGCGACGAUCCGUAGCUGGUCUGAGAGGAUGAUCAGCCAAACUGGAACUGAGGCACGGUCCAGACUCUUACGGGAGGCAGCAGUGGGGAAUAUUGGACAAUGGGCGCAAGCCUGAUCCAGCCAUACCGCGUGGGUGAAGAAGGCCUUCGGGUUGUAAAGACCUUUUGUUGGGAAAGAAAAGCAGCAGGUUAAUACCCCGCUGUUCUGACGGUACCCAAAGAAUAAGCACCGGCUAACUUCGUG
This 492-nucleotide ribosomal RNA is filed under the name uncultured bacterium. RNAcentral describes it as "partial 16S ribosomal RNA". It matches the Rfam family "Bacterial small subunit ribosomal RNA", at positions 29 to 507 of the family's 1533-position model. The record is from RNAcentral.